This 301-nucleotide ribosomal RNA is filed under the name uncultured bacterium. Its description in RNAcentral is "partial 16S ribosomal RNA". It matches the Rfam family "Bacterial small subunit ribosomal RNA", at positions 509 to 808 of the family's 1533-position model. The record is from RNAcentral.
CAGUAGCCACGGUAAUACGUAGGUCCCGAGCGUUGUCCGGAUUUAUUGGGCGUAAAGGGAGCGCAGGCGGUUUAGUAAGACUGAAGUUAAAGGCAUUGGCUCAACCAAUGUAUGCUUUGGAAACUGUUAGACUUGAGUGCAGAAGGGGAGAGUGGAAUUCCAUGUGUAGCGGUGAAAUGCGUAGAUAUAUGGAGGAACACCGGUGGCGAAAGCGGCUCUCUGGUCUGUCACUGACGCUGAGGCUCGAAAGCGUGGGUAGCGAACAGGAUUAGAGACCCCUGUAGUCCCUGUCUCUUAUACA